GGGUAAAUUUGAUUACAAGGUAUUGAAUAAGGUUUUAAUUGAAUGCUAAAAGAAUGGAAUAUCAAAGAAUAACUUUCUUAAAAUUAAAAAUUGAAAUUUUUUUAAUUUGUGUAAAAACAAUUAUAUAAAUUAAAGACAAGAAGACCCUAAGAAUUUUUAAAAUUUAAAUUAACACAUUUUUGUUUUAAUUAAAUUUUAACUGGGGCGGUUAAAAAAUAUUAAAAACUUUUUAAUUUUGAAAAUGAUCCAUUAUUAAUGAAAAUAUGAUAAAAUACUCUAGGGAUAACAGCGUUAUAUUUUUUGAUAGAUCAUAUUGACAAAAAAGUUUGCGACCUCGAUGUUGGAUUAGGAUACUUUUUUAAUGAAGAUAUUAAAAUAAGAAGUUUGUUCAACUUUUAAAUUCCUACAUGAUCUGGUUUUAGACCGAA
This 428-nucleotide ribosomal RNA is filed under the name Rhipicephalus decoloratus. Its description in RNAcentral is "partial 16S ribosomal RNA". The stretch from base 282 to 428 matches the Rfam family "Bacterial large subunit ribosomal RNA", at positions 2473 to 2620 of the family's 2925-position model. Lineage: Eukaryota; Metazoa; Arthropoda; Arachnida; Ixodida; Ixodidae. The record is from RNAcentral.